AAUCAAGUACUGGGGGCACCCUUGCUGAAACGGAGAGUAUAACACCAAGUGAGAUAAGGGAGGCCAUCAGGCGUUACUGGAAACAUCGGGGUCCACUUGCUUGUUUCAUGAAACAGUGGGGAGAUUGCCCGGGUAAACGCCUGCUGAGCUGCUGAACAGGCCACCCCUUACCGUGGAAGGAUGCAUUCAUCUGGUCGGUUUGGACUUCUGAGCACACAGUUCAGUGCUGCUUAUUGUUGCAUUUGCUCCGUACACUCUGGUGUGAGGGUGUGAAAAGAUUGAGACUGCUAUUAAAUUUUUAAGCAUU
This is a long non-coding RNA of Ixodes scapularis (black-legged tick), 307 nucleotides long. RefSeq lists it as uncharacterized. The record is from RefSeq and is a predicted model, not a curated record. The transcript has 2 exons. Lineage: Eukaryota; Metazoa; Arthropoda; Arachnida; Ixodida; Ixodidae.